Molecule: ribosomal RNA, 254 nt
Filed under: uncultured bacterium
Lineage: Bacteria
Description: partial 16S ribosomal RNA
Rfam family: Bacterial small subunit ribosomal RNA
Source: RNAcentral
UACGAGGGGGGCAAGCGUUGUUCGGAAUUAUUGGGCGUAAAGGGCGCGUAGGCGGUGCGGUAAGUCACCUGUGAAAACUCUGGGCUCAACUCAGAGCCUGCAGGCGAAACUGCCGUGCUUGAGUGUGGGAGAGGUGCGUGGAAUUCCCGGUGUAGCGGUGAAAUGCGUAGAUAUCUGGAGGAACACCGGUGGCGAAGGCGGCAUCCUGGACCAACACUGACGCUGAGGAGCGAAAGCCAGGGGAGCAAAGCGGG